Molecule: long non-coding RNA, 763 nt
Filed under: Androctonus crassicauda
Lineage: Eukaryota; Metazoa; Arthropoda; Arachnida; Scorpiones; Buthidae
Source: RNAcentral
UAGUAUGAUAAAUUUAUUUACAUAAGUUCAAAAUUAUUGAUAUAAGUUCAAACUAUUUGAUUGAAUUAUUGAUAAAAAUUAAAUUUAAAGAAAUUUUUGUAAUCAGCAUUAAUAUAUGUUUAAAAAAUCACUUGAUAUUGCUAUUUGCAAGUAAAUUAAAAUCUCUGUAAAGCCCUUAAAUUAAUUUUAUUUGGCUGAUUGCACAGUAAGGAAUCUGUCAGCUGGAAAGUUUGGGUUUAAUCCUGUAUUCAACCUCCAGUUAUUUUCAGAGAGAUUUUGAUUUAGCAUAUUGAUGCAUCUUCACCAUCUAGGCAAUUUCUUCACAUUUCUGUCCUGUCUGUGAUAUAACAGACCAAUUAGAAACUAAUUGGUUUGUUGUUAUAUAUACUAUAUACGAAUAUGGCAGUGUAUAGCACAAUACAAUCUAACUGUGUCUGAUGUGUCAAUUUACAUCCUCUAUUGACUCCACUGUAAAUGUGGCCAGCAUAUAUUGAGCUAGUAUGUAAGGAACUAAUUCUGUGGGCUGGAACAGACUCAGAGUUUUUUCAGGAAGUAUGUUAUGUUAUUUCAGAAUUUAUUCUUAAUCAUUUAGAUGGAAAGCCAGGACCUCACUUAGCUAUUUGGUUUUUAGUUAAAAAGAUAUGUAAAACAACUUUCCUUUUUCAAUUUGAUUUUUGAAGGAAAAAAUUUUAGCAAAUUUAUUUAAGUUAUAUUAACAAAGUAAAAUAAUAAUAAAUGGUAUUACUUGCAGCCAUAAGCAGAC